Molecule: ribosomal RNA, 256 nt
Filed under: uncultured bacterium
Lineage: Bacteria
Description: partial 16S ribosomal RNA
Rfam family: Bacterial small subunit ribosomal RNA
Source: RNAcentral
UACGAAGGGGGGCUAGCGUUGUUCGGAAUUACUGGGCGUAAAGCGCACGUAGGCGGACAUUUUAAGUCAGGGGUGAAAUCCCAGAGCUCAACUCUGGAACUGCCUUUGAUACUGCGGGUCUCGAGUCCGGGAGAGGUGAGUGGAAUUCCUAGUGUAGAGGUGAAAUUCGUAGAUAUUAGGAAGAACACCAGUGGCGAAGGCGGCUCACUGGCCCGGCACUGACGCCUGAGGCGCGAAAGCGUGGGGAGCGAACAGG